RNAcentral lists this ribosomal RNA (389 nucleotides) under bacterium enrichment culture clone ALO1_GLFRUDD03GNO61. Its description in RNAcentral is "bacterial SSU rRNA". It matches the Rfam family "Bacterial small subunit ribosomal RNA", at positions 9 to 396 of the family's 1533-position model. The record is from RNAcentral.
GAGUUUGAUCUUGGCUCAGAUUGAACGCUGGCGGCAUGCCUUACACAUGCAAGUCGAACGGCAGCACGGGAGCUUGCUCCUGGUGGCGAGUGGCGAACGGGUGAGUAAUGCAUCGGAACGUAUCCUGGAGUGGGGGAUAACGUAGCGAAAGUUACGCUAAUACCGCAUAUUCUGUGAGCAGGAAAGCGGGGGACCUUCGGGCCUCGCGCUCUUGGAGCGGCCGAUGUCGGAUUAGCUAGUUGGUGAGGUAAAGGACUCACCAAGGCGACGAUCCGUAGCAGGUCUGAGAGGAUGAUCUGGCCACACUGGAACUGGAGACACGGUCCAGACUCCUACGGAGGCAGCAGUGGGAAUUUUGGACGAAUGGGGGCAACCCUGAUCCAGCCAUG